UGGGGAAUAUUGCACAAUGGGCGCAAGCCUGAUGCAGCCAUGCCGCGUGUGUGAAGAAGGCCUUCGGGUUGUAAAGCACUUUCAGCGGGGAGGAAGGCGUUAAGGUUAAUAACCUUGGCGAUUGACGUUACCCGCAGAAGAAGCACCGGCUAACUCCGUGCCAGCAGCCGCGGUAAUACGGAGGGUGCAAGCGUUAAUCGGAAUUACUGGGCGUAAAGCGCACGCAGGCGGUCUGUCAAGUCGGAUGUGAAAUCCCCGGGCUCAACCUGGGAACUGCAUUCGAAACUGGCAGGCUAGUGUCUUGUAGAGGGGGGUAGAAUUCCAGGUGUAGCGGUGAAAUGCGUAGAGAUCUGGAGGAAUACCGGUAGCGAAGGCGGCCCCCUGGACAAAGACUGACGCUCAGGUGCGAAAGCGUGGGGAGCAAACAGG
RNAcentral lists this ribosomal RNA (429 nucleotides) under Chloroflexota bacterium. RNAcentral's name for it is "Chloroflexi bacterium partial 16S ribosomal RNA". It matches the Rfam family "Bacterial small subunit ribosomal RNA", at positions 355 to 776 of the family's 1533-position model. The record is from RNAcentral. Lineage: Bacteria; Bacillati; Chloroflexota.